RNAcentral lists this ribosomal RNA (421 nucleotides) under uncultured Methanomicrobiales archaeon. RNAcentral describes it as "bacterial SSU rRNA". It matches the Rfam family "Archaeal small subunit ribosomal RNA", at positions 322 to 747 of the family's 1478-position model. The record is from RNAcentral. Lineage: Archaea; Methanobacteriati; Methanobacteriota; Methanomicrobia; Methanomicrobiales.
CCUACGGGGUGCAGCAGGCGCGAAAACUUUACAAUGCGAGAAAUCGUGAUAAGGGAACCCCGAGUGCCCGUAAAUUCGGGCUGUCCAUCAGUGUAAAUAACUGGUGAAGAAAGGGCCGGGCAAGACCGGUGCCAGCCGCCGCGGUAAUACCGGCGGCUCGAGUGGUGGCCGCUAUUACUGGGCUUAAAGCGUCCGUAGCUGGGUUGUUAAGUCUCCUGGGAAAUCUACCGGCUCAACCGAUGGGCGUUCAGGAGAUACUGGCAACCUAGGGACCGGGAGAGGUGAGGGGUACUCCAGGGGUAGGAGUGAAAUCCUGUAAUCCUUGGGGGACCACCUGUGGCGAAGGCGUCUCACCAGAACGGCUCCGACAGUGAGGGACGAAAGCUGGGGGAGCAAACCGGAUUAGAUACCCCGGUAGUCC